This 398-nucleotide ribosomal RNA is filed under the name uncultured bacterium. RNAcentral's name for it is "partial 16S ribosomal RNA". It matches the Rfam family "Bacterial small subunit ribosomal RNA", at positions 360 to 775 of the family's 1533-position model. The record is from RNAcentral.
AAUCUUGCGCAAUGGGCGAAAGCCUGACGCAGCCAUGCCGCGUGAAUGAUGAAGGUCUUAGGGUUGUAAAGCUCUUUUACCAGGGAUGAUAAUGACAGUACCUGGAGAAUAAGCUUCGGCUAACUCCGUGCCAGUAGCCGCGGUAAUACGGAGGGAGCUAGCGUGGUUCGGAAAUACUGGGCGUAAAGCGCACGUAGGCGGCGCCGUAAGUCAGGGGUGAAAUCCCGGGGCUCAAACCCGGAACUGCCUUUGAAACUGCAGUGCUAGAAUCUUGGAGAGGUCAGUGGAAUUCCGAGUGUAGAGGUGAAAUUCGUAGAUAUUCGGAAGAACACCAGUGGCGAAGGCGACUGACUGGACAAGUAUUGACGCUGAGGUGCGAAAGCGUGGGGAGCAAACAG